GGGAAAGGAAAUUCGAAGAAGCGCUUGAUCUACUCCGUCGGAUGAAGAAACACAAUUAUCCACCUUUUCCAGAACCCUUUCUUCAAUAUAUUUCAAAGUCAGGAACAGUGGAAGAUGCAGUGGAGUUUUUAAAGGCGUUGAGCGUCAAGGACUAUCCAUCUGUUUCAGCCUAUCAACAUGUUUUCCAGUCCUUCUUUGCAGAAGGUAGACAUUCUGAGGCAAAAGAUCUGCUCUACAAGUGCCCAUAUCAUAUUCGGCAACACCCAGCAAUUU
This 273-nucleotide unclassified non-coding RNA is filed under the name Hevea brasiliensis (rubber tree). Lineage: Eukaryota; Viridiplantae; Streptophyta; Magnoliopsida; Malpighiales; Euphorbiaceae. The record is from RNAcentral.